ACACACCACUCUUUUGUAAUCACUUUUAAGGGUUUUUUAUAAACGCAGGGAAAGGACCUCUCUCCCACACCCCCUGUAAAAGGACCCCUUUUUUUACUAUGAGAGGCCCCCCCCUGAAUGGCACACGUUGAGAGGUUGAGCCCGCCACACCUGGCCUGGGAGGGCCAGGUUACCACCCCCGUUCAAAACCUGGAAAAUUUUCUUUCCCGUAGGGUGAACCUGCGGAAGGAUCAUUAUCGAGUUUUGACUGGGUUGUAGCUGGCCUUCCGAGGCAUGUGCACGCCCUGCUCAUCCACUCUACACCUGUGCACUUACUGUGGGCUUCAGAUCGUAAAACGGGUCCCUUUACCGGGCUUGCGGAGCGUGUCUGUGCCUGCGUUUAUCACAAACUCUAUAAAGUAUCAGAAUGUGUAUUGCGAUGUAACGCAUCUAUAUACAACUUUCAGCAACGGAUCUCUUGGCUCUCGCAUCGAUGAAGAACGCAGCGAAAUGCGAUAAGUAAUGUGAAUUGCAGAAUUCAGUGAAUCAUCGAAUCUUUGAACGCACCUUGCGCUCCUUGGUAUUCCGAGGAGCAUGCCUGUUUGAGUGUCAUGAAAUCUUCAACCUGCAAGCUUUUGUGGUUUGUAGGCUUGGACUUGGAGGCUUGUCGGCCGUUCUUGGUCGGCUCCUCUUAAAUGCAUUAGCUUGGUUCCUUGCGGAUCGGCUCUCAGUGUGAUAAUGUCUACGCUGCGACACGUGAAAGCGUUUUGGCGAGCUUCUUAACCGUACUUCUAGUUUUGGGGGAAGGAACACG
RNAcentral lists this ribosomal RNA (793 nucleotides) under Ganoderma lucidum. RNAcentral describes it as "eukaryotic LSU rRNA". The stretch from base 438 to 591 matches the Rfam family "5.8S ribosomal RNA". Lineage: Eukaryota; Fungi; Basidiomycota; Agaricomycetes; Polyporales; Polyporaceae. The record is from RNAcentral.